This 246-nucleotide ribosomal RNA is filed under the name uncultured bacterium. RNAcentral's name for it is "partial 16S ribosomal RNA". It matches the Rfam family "Bacterial small subunit ribosomal RNA", at positions 15 to 244 of the family's 1533-position model. The record is from RNAcentral.
GAUCCUGGCUCAGGACGAACGCUGGCGGCGUGCUUAACACAUGCAAGUCGAACGAGAAUCUGUGGAACGAGGAUUCGUCCAAGUGAAGCAGAGGACAGUGGCGGACGGGUGAGUAACGCGUGAGGAACCUGCCUUUCAGAGGGGGACAACAGUUGGAAACGACUGCUAAUACCGCAUAAGCGCACGGGGCCGCAUGGUCCUGUGUGAAAAACUCCGGUGGUAUAAGAUGGACCCGCGUUGGAUUAG